Molecule: ribosomal RNA, 253 nt
Filed under: uncultured bacterium
Lineage: Bacteria
Description: partial 16S ribosomal RNA
Rfam family: Bacterial small subunit ribosomal RNA
Source: RNAcentral
UACGUAGGGGGCUAGCGUUGUCCGGAUUUAUUGGGCGUAAAGAGCGUGUAGGCGGCCAGGUAGGUCUGGUGUGAAAACUCGAGGCUUAACCUCGAGAUGUCAUCGGAAACCAUUUGGCUAGAGUCCGGAAGAGGAGAGUGGAAUUCCUGGUGUAGCAGUGAAAUGCGCAGAUAUCAGGAAGAACACCAAUGGCGAAAGCAGCUCUCUGGGACGGUACUGACGCUGAGACGCGAAAGCGUGGGGAGCGAACAGG